RNAcentral lists this ribosomal RNA (329 nucleotides) under uncultured eukaryote. Its description in RNAcentral is "partial 18S ribosomal RNA". It matches the Rfam family "Eukaryotic small subunit ribosomal RNA", at positions 1470 to 1796 of the family's 1831-position model. The record is from RNAcentral.
CCCUUAGAUGUUCUGGGCCGCACGCGCGCUACACUGAUGCAUUCAACGAGUCUAAAACCUGCUCUGAUAGGGGUGGGUAAUCUUUUGAAUGUGCAUCGUGAUUGGGAUAGAUGAUUGCAAUUUUUCAUCUUCAACGAGGAAUGCCUAGUAAACGCAAGUCAUCAGCUUGCAUUGAUUACGUCCCUGCCCUUUGUACACACCGCCCGUCGCUUCUACCGAUUGAAUGAUCCGAUGAAUAUCAUGGAUUGAGGAUGCAAGCAGGUUCGCCUGUCUUCAUCUUCGAGAAGUGAAGUAAAUCUUAUCAUUUAGAGGAAGGAGAAGUCGUAACA